GGGUUGUGAGGUUAAGCGACUAAGCGUACACGGUGGAUGCCCUGGCAGUCAGAGGCGAUGAAGGACGUGCUAAUCUGCGAUAAGCGCCGGUAAGGUGAUAUGAACCGUUAUAACCGGCGAUUUCCGAAUGGGGAAACCCAGUGUGAUUCGUCACACUAUCAUUAACUGAAUCCAUAGGUUAAUGAGGCGAACCGGGGGAACUGAAACAUCUAAGUACCCCGAGGAAAAGAAAUCAACCGAGAUUCCCCCAGUAGCGGCGAGCGAACGGGGAGGAGCCCAGAGCCUGAAUCAGCAUGUGUGUUAGUGGAAGCGUCUGGAAAGGCGCGCGAUACAGGGUGACAGCCCCGUACACAAAAGCGCAUGUGCUGUGAGCUCGAUGAGUAGGGCGGGACACGUGGUAUCCUGUCUGAAUAUGGGGGGACCAUCCUCCAAGGCUAAAUACUCCUGACUGACCGAUAGUGAACCAGUACCGUGAGGGAAAGGCGAAAAGAACCCCGGCGAGGGGAGUGAAAAAGAACCUGAAACCGUGUACGUACAAGCAGUGGGAGCACCCUUCGGGGUGUGACUGCGUACCUUUUGUAUAAUGGGUCAGCGACUUAUAUUCUGUAGCAAGGUUAACCGAAUAGGGGAGCCGGAGGGAAACCGAGUCUUAACCGGGCGUUAAGUUGCAGGGUAUAGACCCGAAACCCGGUGAUCUAGCCAUGGGCAGGUUGAAGGUUGGGUAACACUAACUGGAGGACCGAACCGACUAAUGUUGAAAAAUUAGCGGAUGACCUGUGGCUGGGGGUGAAAGGCCAAUCAAACCGGGAGAUAGCUGGUUCUCCCCGAAAGCUAUUUAGGUAGCGCCUCGUGAAUUCAUCUCCGGGGGUAGAGCACUGUUUCGGCUAGGGGGCCAUCCCGGCUUACCAACCCGAUGCAAACUGCGAAUACCGGAGAAUGUUAUCACGGGAGACACACGGCGGGUGCUAACGUCCGUCGUGAAGAGGGAAACAACCCAGACCGCCAGCUAAGGUCCCAAAGUCAUGGUUAAGUGGGAAACGAUGUGGGAAGGCCCAGACAGCCAGGAUGUUGGCUUAGAAGCAGCCAUCAUUUAAAGAAAGCGUAAUAGCUCACUGGUCGAGUCGGCCUGCGCGGAAGAUGUAACGGGGCUAAACCAUGCACCGAAGCUGCGGCAGCGACACUGUGUGUUGUUGGGUAGGGGAGCGUUCUGUAAGCCUGUGAAGGUGGCCUGUGAGGGUUGCUGGAGGUAUCAGAAGUGCGAAUGCUGACAUAAGUAACGAUAAAGCGGGUGAAAAGCCCGCUCGCCGGAAGACCAAGGGUUCCUGUCCAACGUUAAUCGGGGCAGGGUGAGUCGACCCCUAAGGCGAGGCCGAAAGGCGUAGUCGAUGGGAAACGGGUUAAUAUUCCCGUACUUGGUGUUACUGCGAAGGGGGGACGGAGAAGGCUAUGUUGGCCGGGCGACGGUUGUCCCGGUUUAAGCGUGUAGGUGUGUGUUCCAGGUAAAUCCGGUUCACUUUAACACUGAGGCGUGACGACGAGGCACUACGGUGCUGAAGCAACAAAUGCCCUGCUUCCAGGAAAAGCCUCUAAGCAUCAGGUAACAUCAAAUCGUACCCCAAACCGACACAGGUGGUCAGGUAGAGAAUACCAAGGCGCUUGAGAGAACUCGGGUGAAGGAACUAGGCAAAAUGGUGCCGUAACUUCGGGAGAAGGCACGCUGACACGUAGGUGAAGUGAUUUACUCAUGGAGCUGAAGUCAGUCGAAGAUACCAGCUGGCUGCAACUGUUUAUUAAAAACACAGCACUGUGCAAACACGAAAGUGGACGUAUACGGUGUGACGCCUGCCCGGUGCCGGAAGGUUAAUUGAUGGGGUCAGCGCAAGCGAAGCUCCUGAUCGAAGCCCCGGUAAACGGCGGCCGUAACUAUAACGGUCCUAAGGUAGCGAAAUUCCUUGUCGGGUAAGUUCCGACCUGCACGAAUGGCGUAAUGAUGGCCAGGCUGUCUCCACCCGAGACUCAGUGAAAUUGAACUCGCUGUGAAGAUGCAGUGUACCCGCGGCAAGACGGAAAGACCCCGUGAACCUUUACUAUAGCUUGACACUGAACAUUGAGCCUUGAUGUGUAGGAUAGGUGGGAGGCUUUGAAGUGUGGACGCCAGUCUGCAUGGAGCCGACCUUGAAAUACCACCCUUUAAUGUUUGAUGUUCUAACGUGGACCCGUAAUCCGGGUUGCGGACAGUGUCUGGUGGGUAGUUUGACUGGGGCGGUCUCCUCCUAAAGAGUAACGGAGGAGCACGAAGGUUGGCUAAUCCUGGUCGGACAUCAGGAGGUUAGUGCAAUGGCAUAAGCCAGCUUGACUGCGAGCGUGACGGCGCGAGCAGGUGCGAAAGCAGGUCAUAGUGAUCCGGUGGUUCUGAAUGGAAGGGCCAUCGCUCAACGGAUAAAAGGUACUCCGGGGAUAACAGGCUGAUACCGCCCAAGAGUUCAUAUCGACGGCGGUGUUUGGCACCUCGAUGUCGGCUCAUCACAUCCUGGGGCUGAAGUAGGUCCCAAGGGUAUGGCUGUUCGCCAUUUAAAGUGGUACGCGAGCUGGGUUUAGAACGUCGUGAGACAGUUCGGUCCCUAUCUGCCGUGGGCGCUGGAGAACUGAGGGGGGCUGCUCCUAGUACGAGAGGACCGGAGUGGACGCAUCACUGGUGUUCGGGUUGUCAUGCCAAUGGCACUGCCCGGUAGCUAAAUGCGGAAGAGAUAAGUGCUGAAAGCAUCUAAGCACGAAACUUGCCCCGAGAUGAGUUCUCCCUGAGACUUAGAGUCUCCUGAAGGAACGUUGAAGACGACGACGUUGAUAGGCCGGGUGUGUAAGCGCAGCGAUGCGUUGAGCUAACCGGUACUAAUGAACCGUGAGGCUUAACCUUACAACGCCGAAG
RNAcentral lists this ribosomal RNA (2926 nucleotides) under Salmonella enterica subsp. enterica. RNAcentral describes it as "bacterial LSU rRNA". It matches the Rfam family "Bacterial large subunit ribosomal RNA". The record is from RNAcentral. Lineage: Bacteria; Pseudomonadati; Pseudomonadota; Gammaproteobacteria; Enterobacterales; Enterobacteriaceae. RNAcentral also lists the same sequence under 1 other name.